RNAcentral lists this ribosomal RNA (920 nucleotides) under Penicillium oxalicum. RNAcentral describes it as "eukaryotic LSU rRNA". It matches the Rfam family "Eukaryotic large subunit ribosomal RNA", at positions 1 to 938 of the family's 3401-position model. The record is from RNAcentral. Lineage: Eukaryota; Fungi; Ascomycota; Eurotiomycetes; Eurotiales; Aspergillaceae.
UUGACCUCGGAUCAGGUAGGGAUACCCGCUGAACUUAAGCAUAUCAAUAAGCGGAGGAAAAGAAACCAACAGGGAUUGCCUCAGUAACGGCGAGUGAAGCGGCAAGAGCUCAAAUUUGAAAGCUGGCUCCUUCGGGGUCCGCAUUGUAAUUUGCAGAGGAUGCUUCGGGAGCGGCCCCCAUCUAAGUGCCCUGGAACGGGCCGUCAUAGAGGGUGAAAAUCCCGUCUGGGAUGGGGUGUCCGCGCCCGUGUGAAGCUCCUUCGACGAGUCGAGUUGUUUGGGAAUGCAGCUCUAAAUGGGUGGUAAAUUUCAUCUAAAGCUAAAUAUUGGCCGGAGACCGAUAGCGCACAAGUAGAGUGAUCGAAAGAUGAAAAGCACUUUGAAAAGAGAGUUAAACAGCACGUGAAAUUGUUGAAAGGGAAGCGCUUGCGACCAGACUCGCCCACGGGGUUCAGCCGGCAUUCGUGCCGGUGUACUUCCCCGCGGGCGGGCCAGCGUCGGUUUGGGCGGCCGGUCAAAGGCCCUCGGAAUGUAACGCCCCCCGGGGCGUCUUAUAGCCGAGGGUGCCAUGCGGCCAGCCCAGACCGAGGAACGCGCUUCGGCUCGGACGCUGGCAUAAUGGUCGUAAGCGACCCGUCUUGAAACACGGACCAAGGAGUCUAACAUCUACGCGAGUGUUCGGGUGUCAAACCCGUGCGCGCAGUGAAAGCGAACGGAGGUGGGAACCCCUCGGGGUGCACCAUCGACCGAUCCUGAUGUCUUCGGAUGGAUUUGAGUAUGAGCGUAGCUGUUGGGACCCGAAAGAUGGUGAACUAUGCCUGAAUAGGGUGAAGCCAGAGGAAACUCUGGUGGAGGCUCGCAGCGGUUCUGACGUGCAAAUCGAUCGUCAAAUUUGGGUAUAGGGGCGAAAGACUAAUCGA